GCCUCGGGAGCAGUGCCAGAGCCCUGCCCUGGCCCAGGCCCAGAUGCAGCUGGCCCUCGCUGGUAGGGCAGCGUGUGGAAGCCAUCUUGUUGAACGGGCAACUGCUUUUCAAACUGAUCCAGAAGUGUUGGGGGGCUCUGAAGUCAUCGGAGCAAUCCUAGCAGACAGAGGCUCACCAGGACGCUGAGGAAGCGAGAGCCUCAGCCAGCCAAGGCCGCAAAUGUGAUAAACACUUAUGCAUGGGAAGAAGUGCCCUCGGCCAGGUGGACUUGUAAACAUCCUCUGAUCACCAAAAAGAAAAGGAGACCUGGGCAGCCACACAAACUGUUCCAAGAUGAACUCGCUUUCAGCAAGCUGACUUGAAGUAAACUGAGCCAGAGCUACA
Ochotona princeps (American pika) is the source of this 385-nucleotide long non-coding RNA. RefSeq lists it as uncharacterized. Lineage: Eukaryota; Metazoa; Chordata; Mammalia; Lagomorpha; Ochotonidae. The transcript has 2 exons. The record is from RefSeq and is a predicted model, not a curated record.